AAAGGUCAUAGUGUUGUAACCAUAAUUAAAAGGUAAGGGAACAUAAGGAGAGAAAUGCAAAUUAACAUCAAAACAAUAGUUGGUAUACCUUUCAAGUAGUUGCUUUAUAUCUCUAUUAUCAGUGGAAGGAUCAAGCAUCUCCUGGUACCUUUCCUGCCUGAGACCUUCCCAAUCACUUCGUGGCCGAGCAAUAUCACUUACCCAGUCAUAAUAGGUUUCUUCUAGCUGCUGGUAACUUGAUUGAUCUUCUUCACAUUCGCUCUGUGCUUCAGGAAGAUUAGUA
This 283-nucleotide long non-coding RNA is filed under the name Panax ginseng (ginseng). Its description in RNAcentral is "long non-coding RNA (PGIN_LNC017949)". The record is from RNAcentral. Lineage: Eukaryota; Viridiplantae; Streptophyta; Magnoliopsida; Apiales; Araliaceae.